Molecule: ribosomal RNA, 465 nt
Filed under: uncultured bacterium
Lineage: Bacteria
Description: partial 16S ribosomal RNA
Rfam family: Bacterial small subunit ribosomal RNA
Source: RNAcentral
CCUACGGGAGGCAGCAGUGGGGAAUAUUGCGCAAUGGGCGAAAGCCUGACGCAGCGACGCCGCGUGAGGGAUGAAGGUCUUCGGAUCGUAAACCUCUGUCAGCAGGGAAGAACGGUCACUGUGCUAAUCAGCAGUGAAUUGACGGUACCUGCAAAGGAAGCACCGGCUAACUCCGUGCCAGCAGCCGCGGUAAUACGGAGGGUGCGAGCGUUAAUCGGAAUUACUGGGCGUAAAGCGCUCGUAGGCGGUAUGUCAAGUCAAGGGUGAAAUCCCCGCGCUCAACGUGGGAACUGCCUUUGAAACUGGCAAACUGGAGUGGGUGAGAGGCUAGUGGAAUGCCAGGUGUAGGAGUGAAAUGCGUAGAUAUCUGGAGGAACAUCAGUGGCGAAGGCGACUAUCUGGCACAUAACUGACGCUGAGGAGCGAAAGCGUGGGUAGCAAACAGGAUUAGAUACCCUUGUAGUC